This is a non-coding RNA of Petromyzon marinus (sea lamprey), 1251 nucleotides long. The record is from RefSeq and is a predicted model, not a curated record. NCBI's taxonomy places the organism in Eukaryota, Metazoa, Chordata, Hyperoartia, Petromyzontiformes, Petromyzontidae.
CCCCCCACCUCUCGGGGCCCCGCCCACCACGGUGACGUCGAAUUUUGCGCGGCAACGUCGUUUUGCACGCGGCGACGUCGGGUUUUUUUUGCGCGGUGACGUCAUUCUUUUACGCGGGACGUCAUUUUUUUUGUUUAUUACGCGGGAGACUUCGUUAUUGCGCUGCGACGUCACCGCGUAGACGACGCGGUGACGUCGCCGCGCCACAAACGACGUCACCGCGGUGGGGUCUUGCAAAACGACAUGUCGCGGUGUACAGUGUGCGCCACUUGAGCACUGUACACUGCACCGUGCGUGAGCGCCACAGGAGAGAGGGGCGCUUGGCUGGGCUGUAGCCGCGUGAAAUAUAAAGGCGUCCUUAAACACCGCCGUCGCCGCGGACAAUUAGUGAAGGGGUUCGUCACGUUGGAGACGAAACCCCACAACUACAACAUUUACAAUUCGAGUAGCCCGCGAGAGUAAUCGGCGACUGCGCUGAGACUGAUCAACUCGCUACAUUUGAGAAGUAAUUUUAAUUAACAGUCGCAGCGACGCAGCGCUCGCUAAUGCCACGGCCAGAGGGACGUGGUGCUGGUGAAAGGCCGGCCCACGGAGAUGGACGUGGCGUGGAGAUUUGUCGAGCGAGAGGCAAGAGAUCCGUGGAGUGAGAGAGGCAGAGACGUAGUUCGGGAGAGGCACGGGGUGCGAGGAGCCAUGGCCGCGUCUCUGUGCAAAUGACGUCUAACCGUUGAGCGAGAUAAUGCCACCACAGUAGGGAAGGGCGCAUUGCGGUCUAAAAAAAAACCUCGCAACAUAAGAAAGAGUUAACACAUUGUAUGGUGGGGAAAACGUCCCGAGGGAUUGCUUGGGGCAGAAUAAAAUUAAAUUCUGGCGAUGUGAAACGUUUUGGGGCUUUAAAAAAUGUGAGCUAGUUGUGUAAAAAUGACCGAAACGGACACACGGUAAAGCGAUGUAUUCCUCAACUUACUCUACAGCUAUUACAUGCCAACAUAGUUUGCAUAACUUACGUGGUUGUGUACAACAUGGGCAUAAGCACAUGUAAUGUGAGUGAGUUCAGUGUAAACAAUAUUCAAAUUUGCACAAUAACAUUAGUCUCAUAACACCAGUAUGCUGCAAACAAACAGUCCAUAUGUAUUACCUAAUUUGACACUUGUGGGUGACUAUUGUACCACAGUAGAAUGUAUGAAUAAUAUUACAUAAUGUUGAUGUUAUGUAUACCGCAAUUUUAUUCUAAAGUCACUUCAUAAUAAA